Molecule: non-coding RNA, 1195 nt
Organism: Bufo gargarizans (Asiatic toad)
Lineage: Eukaryota; Metazoa; Chordata; Amphibia; Anura; Bufonidae
Source: the annotation of a RefSeq genome assembly
AGACCGAGUUGGUUGAUGUUGCCUUGCGGAACAGGUUCUUCUUGUGCCUCUGAUAUAAUUCAAGCGCCCAAACUGGAGACUUUGGCUGGAGAAGACUUUAGUCUCAGAUGUGACCAUGCCUCGCUUCCUACAUCUGACUACAUCUUCUGGUAUAGGCUGUUUCCUGGUCAGGGACCAGUGUUUCUACUACGAGGCUACUCAGAGACCGAGUCACCAGACCAUAAACUGAGAUUAACAUUCAACGAAGGGAGAAAAUCCAGUGUCCUCCAUAUACGGGAUGUGGAGCCUGAAGACGGUGCGGUCUAUCUGUGUGCUCGGGGGGGAGCUGCAAAUAAGCUGAUCUUUGGAGUAGGAACACAACUCAAAGUAACUCCAAAAACAGACCGGACAAGCCCUUCGGUAUAUCAGCUGACGUCUUACAAGCCAACAGAAAGUCUCCCGAACACGGUCUGCCUGGUUACUGAUUUCCCAUCACCAAAUAAAACUUUGGAUGUAGACAAACAGAAAAUAGAGCUGAACGAUGUAGCUGUGCUGGAUAUGUCCAGUAGUGAUGUGUGGAGAUACAGCGCAGUCAUAUGGGACCAGGACAAUCCCUCCAAGGACCUCAGCUGUGCAGUGAAGUAUGAUGGAGAAACUGUCCACCCGGAUACCACAAUAGAUGAAACAACUGAUACUUGCUCAUCCCUAUCUGUCACUAAACGUUUCCACACAAACCCAAGCAUGAACACAUUGUCAAUUUCAGUUCUUGGACUGAGGAUUCUUACCGCCAAAGCUGUUGUCUUCAACCUAAUAAUAACCCUGCGCCUUUGGUCAUCUUAAGAUAUUCUUCACUGGGCUCAAAACAGCAACAUCAGUCAUUUUCAUCAGUUCUGUUGGAUGAAAUGAAAUCUUUAUCACCAUUCAGACAUUGUAUAUUUAUAAUCAUAGUGUGGCAUGUAUAUAGUGCCAUGAAUAUUAAGCAGGUUUGAGAUGAUUAAAAUAGAAUUACCCAAUUAAUAUAGGAAGAAAUGAUGUCAUCCAUUAUACUCAAUUGUAAUUUACAUAGUGUAUGUACUAUUUCCGUUACAUGCAUUUUACUUAGUAUGUUCUAAUCUUCGUCAUGUCUAUACUGUAUACUUGUAAUAUAUAUGUCUUUUCUAUACAAUGUAAACAAUAUCACAAAAGUUAUAUUAAAGCAUUUAUUGAAAAAAGAAAA